This 492-nucleotide ribosomal RNA is filed under the name uncultured bacterium. RNAcentral's name for it is "partial 16S ribosomal RNA". It matches the Rfam family "Bacterial small subunit ribosomal RNA", at positions 29 to 507 of the family's 1533-position model. The record is from RNAcentral.
AGUGAACGCUGGCGGUAGGCCUAACACAUGCAAGUCGAACGGCAGCACAGUAAGAGCUUGCUCUUACGGGUGGCGAGUGGCGGACGGGUGAGGAAUACAUCGGAAUCUACUUUUUCGUGGGGGAUAACGUAGGGAAACUUACGCUAAUACCGCAUACGACCUACGGUUGAAAGCAGGGGAUCUUCGGACCUUGCGCGAUUGAAUGCGCCGAUGUCGGAUUAGCUAGUUGGCGGGGUAAAGGCCCACCAAGGCGACGAUCCGUAGCUGGUCUGAGAGGAUGAUCAGCCACACUGGAACGGAGACACGGUCCAGACUCCUACGGGAGGCAGCAGUGGGGAAUAUUGGACAAUGGGCGCAAGCCUGAUCCAGCCAUACCGCGUGGGUGAAGAAGGCCUUCGGGUUGUAAAGCCCUUUUGUUGGGAAAGAAAAGCAGCAGGUUAAUACCCCGCUGUUCUGACGGUACCCAAAGAAUAAGCACCGGCUAACUUCGUG